ACUCAAAUGAAUUGACGGGGGCCCGCACAAGCGGUGGAGCAUGUGGAUUAAUUCGAUGCAACGCGAGGAACCUUACCUGGACUUGACAUCCCGGGACCGCCGUGGAAACACGGUUUUCUCUUCGGAGACCCGGAGACAGGUGGUGCAUGGCUGUCGUCAGCUCGUGUCGUGAGAUGUUGGGUUAAGUCCCGCAACGAGCGCAACCCUUGCCGAUAGUUGCCAGCAUUUAGUUGGGGACUCUAUCGGGACUGUCGGUAACAAGCCGAAGGAAGGUGGGGAUGACGUCAAGUCAGCAUGCCCCUUAUGUUCAGGGCUUCACACGUGCUACAAUGGCCGGUUACAAAGAGAAGCAAGUCCGCAAGGCCAAGCCAAUCUCCAAAGCCGGUCUCAGUUCAGAUUGAGGGUUGCAACUCACCCUCAUGAAGGCGGAAUCGCUAGUAAUCGUGAAUCAGCAUGUCACGGUGAAUACGUUCCCGGGCCUUGUACACACCGCCCGU
RNAcentral lists this ribosomal RNA (497 nucleotides) under uncultured bacterium. RNAcentral's name for it is "partial 16S ribosomal RNA". It matches the Rfam family "Bacterial small subunit ribosomal RNA", at positions 899 to 1397 of the family's 1533-position model. The record is from RNAcentral.